RNAcentral lists this ribosomal RNA (468 nucleotides) under uncultured bacterium. RNAcentral describes it as "partial 16S ribosomal RNA". It matches the Rfam family "Bacterial small subunit ribosomal RNA", at positions 28 to 507 of the family's 1533-position model. The record is from RNAcentral.
GACGAACGCUGGCGGCGUGCUUAACACAUGCAAGUCGAACGGAAAGGCCCUGCUUUUGUGGGGUGCUCGAGUGGCGAACGGGUGAGUAACACGUGAGUAACCUGCCCUUGACUUUGGGAUAACUUCAGGAAACUGGGGCUAAUACCGGAUAGGAGCUCCUGCUGCAUGGUGGGGGUUGGAAAGUUUCGGCGGUUGGGGAUGGACUCGCGGCUUAUCAGCUUGUUGGUGGGGUAGUGGCUUACCAAGGCUUUGACGGGUAGCCGGCCUGAGAGGGUGACCGGCCACAUUGGGACUGAGAUGCGGCCCAGACUCCUACGGGAGGCAGCAGUGGGGAAUAUUGCACAAUGGGCGGAAGCCUGAUGCAGCAACGCCGCGUGCGGGAUGACGGCCUUCGGGUUGUAAACCGCUUUCGCCUGUGACGAAGCGUGAGUGACGGUAAUGGGUAAAGAAGCACCGACUAACUACGUG